RNAcentral lists this long non-coding RNA (686 nucleotides) under Homo sapiens (human). RNAcentral describes it as "HSALNT0339381". Lineage: Eukaryota; Metazoa; Chordata; Mammalia; Primates; Hominidae. The record is from RNAcentral.
AUUUACUAGAUGCUACUUGGAAAAUAACACAGUACUCUGUAGACCAGGAAGAGGAUGUUCACCAAGAACUCAAUCCUGCUGGAAACCUGAUCUCAGACUUCCAGACUCCAAAACUGUAGUGCAAAAUUCCACAUCCACAAAACCCACCUGGCCAGUGAUGGCUUGGGUAAGGACGGAGAAUGCAGUGGGAUCAGAACCCUAGAGUGGGCAUGAAGAGGAGAAAAAACAAAUUCUGAAAUCACCAUGGAAACACUACAGAGAACUCUGGGUUGCUGUUUUAGUUUUUCUGUUUUUUCCCAGGAAGGUAAAAGGUCAGCAACCAUUUGUGAGUGCUGGAAAUCCCACAUAACAGGAAAGGAGAGUAGAGGAGGAGGAGGAGAGAUAAAAUAUUUUAGAGAACAUUUAUAAACAUUCCUUGUAAAGUUGAUAAACAAUCUUUGAAAGACACAGAAUCCAAAAUACAUACGAAGAUUAUGUGGAUUACAAAAGAAAGCACUGCUCAACUUGACCCUAUCAGCUUUACCUGACUUCCUGGGAGGUACAGAACAAGGUACGUAUGGGGAUCCAGCAAUUCUGAAGACUACGCCAUGCCUCCAACAGAGGGCUUCUUGGGUUGAAAGUGUGUGGGUAACAUUUACCAUAACAAUAACUACCACAACUACAGCUAAUAAAUGCACUUAAGCAGA